This 90-nucleotide transfer RNA is filed under the name Bacteroidales bacterium. RNAcentral's name for it is "tRNA-Ser". It matches the Rfam family "tRNA". Rfam says of the family: Transfer RNA (tRNA) molecules are approximately 80 nucleotides in length. The record is from RNAcentral. Lineage: Bacteria; Pseudomonadati; Bacteroidota; Bacteroidia; Bacteroidales.
GGAGAGAUGCCAGAGCGGUCGAAUGGGGCGGUCUCGAAAACCGUUGAUCUCUCACGGGAUCCGAGGGUUCGAAUCCCUCUCUCUCCGCCA